CCGCCCGCUCCCUCACCCACCCCCCGCCCCUCCCGGCUCGCGGACACCCAGCCAAGGCCGCGCGACCCCGCCCCACUCCGCUCGCCGUAGACCACGCACCGCCCUUUUUCACCACCGCCGCCGCCCGUGCGCGUGCGCGGGGGCCGCCCUACUGGCUCCUCCUAGUCUUCUGCUUUCUUUUUCCUGCCCCGGGCCUCGCUCUCGCGCACGGGACCACAAUGCUCCGCGCCGCUUGUCAUUUGGAGGCGCCCAAAGAAUUCAGCCAGAGGAACAUGAACCACAGACGUUCAUCACCCUUCUCAGGACCAAGUUCAUUUUCAGCAGUCCAAGUGGGAUGACCAGAAAUGAACUAUAGAUCAGAUCAUCUCCACAGAAAGAACUCCUGUGAUUUGAGGGGUAAUUUUGUGAUACCCUAAUUGAUAUAUAUCCCGCUUGCAAA
Molecule: non-coding RNA, 439 nt
Organism: Kogia breviceps (pygmy sperm whale)
Lineage: Eukaryota; Metazoa; Chordata; Mammalia; Artiodactyla; Physeteridae
Source: RefSeq, a predicted model, not a curated record